RNAcentral lists this long non-coding RNA (1214 nucleotides) under Homo sapiens (human). RNAcentral describes it as "HSALNT0114538". Lineage: Eukaryota; Metazoa; Chordata; Mammalia; Primates; Hominidae. The record is from RNAcentral.
CAUAAACUUUCGAUUCAUUUGGAUAAACACCAGGGAACACAAUUGCAAGAUCAUGUGGGCUGGAAGACAGAGAUCCACCAGGCUCUCAAUUGAAAGCCCUGGAGGGCUACACCCUAAGAACAGAAGUGAAUCGGAGGUACACUUAGCAAAACUGAAACCAGCUUCUGAUUCAGAAUAAUCUCUGACUCGAUUGAGGUGAUCAAAGGCUAUUCUACCUGCCCAACAGAAGAAAAAGGGAACACUUUCGGUGGAAGGCAAUAUCAUCUGGACCCUUUAUGGUUUUAUUAUACAUAAUGUCUAACAUUUUUUAAAUUACUAGAUGUGGAAGAUCAAGUUCAUUUGCCCAAUAAUCAAGAGAAAAAAACACACACAAUAGAAACACAAUUAUAGAUGAUCAAGAUAUUGUAAUCAGCAAAUGAGAAUUUACAAAUAAUUUUUAUGAAUAUGUUUAAGAAAAUAAAGUGCAAAAUUGAUGAGGAAAUGGACAAUUUUCAGUAAAACUAACCUAUAAAAAAGAUUUCUUUAGGCAUUCUAAAUUUGAAAAAAUAUACUAUCGUCAGUUAAGAAAUCAAUAUAUGGAGAAAACUGCAGUGGAAAGGAUCAGUAGAGAUAGCAGUGUGUCCAACAGCCAAGAAAGUAGGGUGGCGGGCAUACAGAUAGUGAUGUGCAUAGGGGCAAAAGAAGUCAUAAUGGGAAAGCCAUGUGGAGGCAGCAGAGUGCCUGGUGUCCAAGGAAGCAUGUAUAGGGGGUACAUAUGGUGGCAGUUGUAUGCUCAGCAGAAGAAGCACCAGGGAGGUGAAGGUCACGUUGACAGCAUGAACCUUCGAUGUGAUGUGAGGAAAAUGGCAUUCUACCUCUGUGUUCUUCCUCCCCAAAAUUUGUAACCACCAUCUAAUCAUGAGGAAAACAUCAUACAAGUCCAAAUUGAGGAAGAUUCUACAAAAUGCCUGAUUAAUAUUCAUCGAAACUGUCAAGGUCAUCAAAAGCAAGGAAAGUCUGAGAAACUGCCACAGCCUAAAGACAAUCCAGGGAAACGUGAUGACUCAGUGGUAUUCGGGGUGGGUUUCUGGAACAGCAAAAGGACAACAGGCACUGGACUUCAUUACUUCCUUACUGCAACCUGGCGCUUAAAGUGCUAUCAUCACAAGGAUGAAGAAACAGUUCAGAAAGGCUGAUUGAGAUGGCUAUGGUCAUGCCUUAUACCACUGGCAGGU